Molecule: ribosomal RNA, 496 nt
Filed under: uncultured bacterium
Lineage: Bacteria
Description: partial 16S ribosomal RNA
Rfam family: Bacterial small subunit ribosomal RNA
Source: RNAcentral
AUUGAACGCUGGCGGAAUGCUUUACACAUGCAAGUCGAACGGUAGAGGGGGCAACCCCUCGAGAGUGGCGAACGGGUGAGUAAUAUAUCGGAACGUGCCCAGUCGUGGGGGAUAACGUAGCGAAAGUUACGCUAAUACCGCGUACGAUCUACGGAUGAAAGCGGGGGACCGUAAGGCCUCGCGCGAUUGGAGCGGCCGAUAACCAAUUAGGUAGUUGGUGGGGUAAAGGCUCACCAAGCCAACGAUCUGUAGCUGGGCUGAGAGGACGACCAGCCACACUGGAACUGAGACACGGUCCAGACUCCUACGGGAGGCAGCAGUGGGGAAUUUUGGACAAUGGACGCAAGUCUGAUCCAGCCAUUCCGCGUGCAGGAUGAAGGCCCUCGGGUUGUAAACUGCUUUUGUACGGAACGAAAAGGUUUCCAUUAAUACUGGGAGCUCAUGACGGUACCGUAAGAAUAAGCACCGGCUAACUACGUGCCAGCCGCCGCCGUAA